Molecule: ribosomal RNA, 525 nt
Filed under: uncultured bacterium
Lineage: Bacteria
Description: bacterial SSU rRNA
Rfam family: Bacterial small subunit ribosomal RNA
Source: RNAcentral
AAUAGAUACCCAGGUAGUCCAUGCCGUAAACGUUGGGAACUAGAUGUGGGGACCAUUCCACGGUCUCCGUGUCGCAGCUAACGCAUUAAGUUCCCCGCCUGGGGAGUACGGCCGCAAGGCUAAAACUCAAAGGAAUUGACGGGGGCCCGCACAAGCGGCGGAGCAUGCGGAUUAAUUCGAUGCAACGCGAAGAACCUUACCAAGGCUUGACAUAUACGAGAACGCUGCAGAAAUGUAGAACUCUUUGGACACUCGUAUACAGGUGGUGCAUGGUUGUCGUCAGCUCGUGUCGUGAGAUGUUGGGUUAAGUCCCGCAACGAGCGCAACCCUCGUCGUAUGUUGCCAGCACGUAAUGGUGGGAACUCAUAUGAGACUGCCGGGGUCAACUCGGAGGAAGGUGGGGAUGAGGUCAAAUCAUCAUGCCCCUUAUGUCUUGGGCUUCACGCAUGCUACAAUGGCCGGUACAAAGGGCUGCAAUACCGCAAGGUGGAGCGAAUCCCAAAAAGCCGGUCUCAGUUCGGAUUG